AGUGAACGCUGGCGGUAGGCCUAACACAUGCAAGUCGAACGGCAGCACAGUAAGAGCUUGCUCUUACGGGUGGCGAGUGGCGGACGGGUGAGGAAUACAUCGGAAUCUACUUUUUCGUGGGGGAUAACGUAGGGAAACUUACGCUAAUUCCGCAUACGACCUACGGGUGAAAGCAGGGGAUCUUCGGACCAUGCGCGAUUGAAUGAGCCGAUGUCGGAUUAGCUAGUUGGCGGGGUAAAGGCCCACCAAGGCGACGAUCCGUAGCUGGUCUGAGAGGAUGAUCAGCCACACUGGAACUGAGACACGGUCCAGACUCCUACGGGAGGCAGCAGUGGGGAAUAUUGGACAAUGGGCGCAAGCCUGAUCCAGCCAUACCGCGUGAGUGAAGAAGGCCUUCGGGUUGUAAAGCCCUUUUGUUGGGAAAGAAAAGCAGCAGGUUAAUACCCCGCUGUUCUGACGGUACCCAAAGAAUAAGCACCGGCUAACUUCGUG
RNAcentral lists this ribosomal RNA (492 nucleotides) under uncultured bacterium. Its description in RNAcentral is "partial 16S ribosomal RNA". It matches the Rfam family "Bacterial small subunit ribosomal RNA", at positions 29 to 507 of the family's 1533-position model. The record is from RNAcentral.